CGAGGCCCGGGGUGUCCGGAGCACGGGGAUCAAGGUUCCUCCGGCGGCGGCAGCAGCUGCAGCAGUUUCAGCUCCGCCGCGCGUCCGCGCCUCCACACUCACUGCCCGCAACGCGCGCCGCCGCCGCCGCCGCUGCCGCCGCCGCCCGCCCCAACGGUCCUUCAACGGCCGCUGCGCGCGCCCCGCCUCGCUCGGCCCGGCCCGCCCCGCCCCGCCCGGCCCGCGCGCCGCCGCACUGCGGCUCUCACGGAUCCCUCCGCGCCCCGCUCUGCACCAGCGGGCCCGCGGAUCGCUCGUCCCCACCCCACACAGGGCCAGGAUUUGUCGCCGGGCGCGCGCGCUCGCGCUCCCGCCGCCGGACUACUUUCCCUCGCCGCGUGCCCCGCCUCCCGGGUACACUUCACAUUCCUCCCCGGCGGAGGGGCACUUCUCGGCGAUGCGUAAUGCGUCUCUCUGUGAGCCGCGUCACUAUUGGGACCAUCCCAUGGCGGAAAUGAGAGCGCGGCGCCCAUUGGUUCGGCCUUCCCUGCAAUGCGUCAAACUGGGAACCAGUCAUGUGGUCUCAUCUCACUGCAAGCAGAUGGAGAAAUAUGUUUUCUCAUGCGCCUUUGAAAAAGGAACAGGAGCUACUUCCAUGCUGUAUGUAUCUCAGUCAUAUGCUGUCCAAAAAAAAGAAAAAGAAAGAAAAAGGAACAGGAAACAGAAUUUGGUGGUCAAGGUGAAGCCCCACGACAAGGACGCCAAAAUGAAAUACCAGGAGUGCAACAAGAUCGUGAAGCAGAAGGCCUUUGAGCGGGCCAUCGCGGGCGACGAGCACAAGCGCUCUGUGGUGGACUCCCUGGACAUUGAGAGCAUGAGUGAGUGGGGCCCAGGCGCCCUCUGCUCCAGCCCAGAACAUUCCACAUGGGCCCUCUCUAUUCCCUGGGGUGGGAGUGGGCUCGGGGGUAGCCCCUUGUUCUGUCCCCAGGCUGCUGUCUGUCGCUCCUCUGCCUGUGUUCCAGGGCGCUCCAUCCACAGCCUGAAGCUGGGCCUCAUGCUUCCCAGUGGGCGAGAUCAGGAAUUGUAACACCCCCUCAGUAUGGCUUGGCUGUGUGUCCCACCCAAAUCUCACCUUGAAUUUGUAGCUCCCAUAAUUCCUACGUGUUGUGGGAGGGACCGGGUCGGAGAUAAUUGAAUCAUGGGGGCAGUUUCCCCCAUACUGCGCUCCUGCUAGUGAAUACGUCUCACGAGAUCUGAUGACUUUAUAAGGGGAAGCCCCUUUUGCUUGGCUCUCACUCAGCAGCCACUCAGGCAACCAGCGAUACCCAUCUGGAUUAGACAACCUGGCAAACCUGAGGACCCUACCACGCAUGUCUAAGAUGACUGUGUAGCUGUCAACAAUGACUGUACACCCAUCUGUCCCAGCCAGUGGUGCUCCCCGAAAGUAAUAUUAUACUAUCUCAUUAUCUCCUCAGCUUGCUAUGUCAAAAGGGGAAAGUUGUUAAAAUAAAAUGGGGGAGCCAGGUGCAGCGGCUCACACCUGUGAUCCCAACACUUUGGGAGGCCAAAUUGGGAGGAUCCUUGAGCCCAGGAGUUUGAGAGCAGCCUGGGCAACAUGGCAAGACUCCAUCUCUACAAAAGAAAAAAAACAUUAGCUGCACAAAGUGGUGCGUGUGCAUGCCGGUGCUCCCAUCUAGUUGGGAGGCUGAGGCAGGAGGAUCACCUGAGCCCAGGAGGUUGCGGCUGCAGUGAGCUGUGAUCAUGCCGCGUCACUCCUGCCUGGGCAACAGAGUCAGACCCUGUUUUACACACACACGCAGAAGUAACGGGGUGGACAGGACGGAGAAUUCCCCAAGCAGACAGAACCAGGCCACAUAAGCAAAACCUAAUGCACUUUGACUUUUGAAUGUAAGUAAAACCUAACUUAGGUUUGUCCUUCCCUUCCUCCCUCCCUUUCUCUCUCUCUCUCUCUCCUUCUUUCCUCCCUUUCUCUGUUAAUUCCUUCCUCCCUUCCUUUCUUUUUUUUCUUCUUUCUUUGAGAUAGACUCUCAUUCUGUUUCCCAGGCUGGAGUACAGUGGCAGAAUCUCAGCUCACUGCAGACUCCAUCUCCUGGUUUAAGCAAUUCUUGUGCCUCAGCCUCCUAAGUAGCUGGGAUUACAGGCAUAUGCCAUGACACCCGGUUAAUUUUUGUUUUUUUGUUUUUAAGUAGAGACAGGGUCUCACCAUGUUGCUCAGGCUGAUCUCAAACUCCUGACCUCAAGUGAUCUGCCUGCCUCAUUCUCCCAAAGUGCUGGGAUUACAGAUAUGAGCUACCAUGCCCGGCCAAUUUAGGUUAUUUCUCAUGAAUGCCUCUGAUAAUCAUAAACGAAGCUUAAGUUGCCUUCCCCUAACAAUAUAAGACAAAUGCUUUUAAGCAGUCCCUUGCAACCUGGAAACCUCCACUGUCAUAGACUCACCGUAAAGGUUAAACCACCUCCUGAGUUUUGCUUUUUCAGCGAUCCUAUGACAACAUGCCUCUGAGCUUUACUACCUGGGUUCAAGUCCCCUGGAUCGUGUCUGUCCCCCAUCCCCAAAACUUAUUUUAUUUUUUUUGAGAUGGCGUCUCACUCUGUUGCCCAGGCUGGAGUGCAGUGGCGCAGUCUUGGGUCACUGCAACCUCCGCCUCCCAGGUUCAAGCGAUUCUCCUGCCUCAGCCUCCCAAGUAGCUGCAAUUACAGGUGCCUGCCACCAUGCCUGGGUAAUUUUUUGUAUUUUUAAUAGAGACAGGGUUUCACUCUGCUGGCCAGGCUGGUCUUGAACUCCUGACUUUGUGAUCCGCCCGCCUCGGCCUCCCAAAGUGCUGGGAUUACAGGCGUGAGCCACUGUGCCCAGCUGUGUGUGUUAGUUUUCUAGAGCUGCUGUAAUAAGUUCUCACAAACUUGGUGGCUAAAAAUAACAGAAGCUU
Callithrix jacchus (white-tufted-ear marmoset) is the source of this 2924-nucleotide RNA transcript. RefSeq lists it as uncharacterized. The record is from RefSeq and is a predicted model, not a curated record. NCBI's taxonomy places the organism in Eukaryota, Metazoa, Chordata, Mammalia, Primates, Cebidae.